RNAcentral lists this ribosomal RNA (455 nucleotides) under uncultured bacterium. RNAcentral's name for it is "bacterial SSU rRNA". It matches the Rfam family "Bacterial small subunit ribosomal RNA", at positions 340 to 786 of the family's 1533-position model. The record is from RNAcentral.
UACGGAAGGCAGCAGUGGGGAAUAUUGCACAAUGGGCGCAAGCCUGAUGCAGCCAUGCCGCGUGUAUGAAGAAGGCCUUCGGGUUGUAAAGUACUUUUCAGCGGGGAGGAAGGCGGUGGAGUUAAUAGCUUCACCGAUUGACGUUACCCGCAGAAGAAGCACCGGCUAACUCCGUGCCAGCAGCCGCGGUAAUACGGAGGGUGCAAGCGUUAAUCGGAAUUACUGGGCGUAAAGCGCACGCAGGCGGUCUGUCAAGUCGGAUGUGAAAUCCCCCGGGCUUAAACCUGGGAACUGCAUUCGAAACUGGCAGGCUAGAGUCUUGUAGAGGGGGUAGAAUUCCAGGUGUAGCGGUGAAAUGCGUAGAGAUCUGGAGGAAUACCGGUGGCGAAGGCGGCCCCUGGACAAAGACUGACGCUCAGGUGCGAAAGCGUGGGGAGCAAACAGGAUUAGAUACC